RNAcentral lists this long non-coding RNA (1175 nucleotides) under Piliocolobus tephrosceles (Ugandan red Colobus). RNAcentral describes it as "lncRNA (ENSPTEG00000034442.1)". The record is from RNAcentral. Lineage: Eukaryota; Metazoa; Chordata; Mammalia; Primates; Cercopithecidae.
AUUGAAAUUAUCUGGUUUACUUAAAAUGCAGUAAUAUGUACGUUUUUCUCCUGGGCCCCCAAACCUCAAAGACCUCAUUCUGGAAAGAACCUAGUUAACAAUAUGUGGUCUAAGUGGCCAUAACCACAAAGUGCCUAUUUGGCAGAAAACUCAUAAGCAGGUAGUCCUAUCUUGAGAAUCUAAUUCCACAUGCCUAACAGCAUACCCAAGAUCACUAUUACCUCCUACCCCUUCCAAAAUAACAACGUUCUCACCUCCCGAUCUGGAGUCUGGGUCCAAAUGAGAAAGCAUUGGCAAGCGUUUCCACGCAGGGAUAAGCACCCCCACGUCUUUCCAGCUUAGCUCUCCAAGCAGCUCUGGCAGUUAUCUCACUAGAAACCUUGGACUCAGACUCCGACCACGCCCACUCCUCCCGGUCCACCCAUGAUCCCAAAUCCCAUUGGUCACCCGCAUCAGGGUAGCCAUGCAACUCCCGCCCCCGCUCCGUAAUUGGUGAGGGUAAUUGCCGCUCCCAGUACGGCGGAGCUGGGCUCUCUCUCGGUCCACCGGCACCACCUGUUGCCCUUAAGUUAGAAAAGGCGGCGUUCUCGGAGGGAGCCAAGCAGCCGCUGCAGGUGAAGGGGAGCCUCCGGCGGUCAGGUAGCCGCCAGGCUGCCGGCUCCGUUCGGCCCGGCGCACCUGCAGCGCAGCCAGGGCGCCAAGCUGAGGCUCUCACAUCCGGGGCCCGCAGUCACCGCCAACGCGUUAACCCUUUGUCCGCAGGCCCGAGGGUGCCGGCUGUGACCGCGCGGGCCCCUAAGGUGCUAGAGAUUAGACCUGGCGCGCCCGCUAGGAUCUUGCACUGUCGAAAAGUCAGCUCCAAAAUUGCUGCAAUGAUAAGUUUGCUGAACUGCAUCUCUGCCCAAUGCCACUUCCUCGCAAAGACAACCCGCAGUGUAGUGCCCUGCUGCUUCCUUUGGCCUCUGUUGCUGGCUUAGCUGGGGGUAGCAGCUCAACUACUUCCUCCUGACUUCCAGCAGCUGUUCUGGUUUCUUUCCCAGCAUUCAUACUCCUCCGUGAAAGACUGUGAGGUGAGCAGUCAGGUAAAUACAUGCUUAACCAUUAGAGAAACUAAGAUCAAAAAGCAAUGAAGUGGUUCACCUAGUAUAUCUGGCCCUGUAAUAACAGUGGAGCCA